GAACGCUGCGGCGUGCCUAAUACAUGCAAGUCGAACGCAUUUCUUUCACCGUAGCUUGCUACACCGAAGAAAAAUGAGUGGCGAACGGGUGAGUAACACGUGGGUAACCUGCCCAUCAGCGGGGGAUAACACUUGGAAACAGGUGCUAAUACCGCAUAAUUCCAUUUACUGCAUGGUAGAUGGAUGAAAGGCGCUUUUGCGUCACUGAUGGAUGGACCCGCGGUGCAUUAGCUAGUUGGUGGGGUAACGGCCUACCAAGGCUGCGAUGCAUAGCCGACCUGAGAGGGUGAUCGGCCACACUGGGACUGAGACACGGCCCAGACUCCUACGGGAGGCAGCAGUAGGGAAUCUUCGGCAAUGGACGCAAGUCUGACCGAGCAACGCCGCGUGAGUGAAGAAGGUUUUCGGAUCGUAAAACUCUGUUGUUAGAAAAGAACAAGGAUGAGAGUGGAAAGUUCAUCCCUUGACGGUAUCUAACCAGAAAGCCACGGCUAACUACGUG
This 502-nucleotide ribosomal RNA is filed under the name uncultured Enterococcus sp. Its description in RNAcentral is "bacterial SSU rRNA". It matches the Rfam family "Bacterial small subunit ribosomal RNA", at positions 31 to 507 of the family's 1533-position model. Lineage: Bacteria; Bacillati; Bacillota; Bacilli; Lactobacillales; Enterococcaceae. The record is from RNAcentral.